AUUCAGUUUGCUGCAUUUUCUUUUCUGACUUUGGCAUAAAUUUCCUAUGGGUCUUUACAAAAAAACAGAGAAAGUAAUUUCUGAAGAUUGGUCACAUCAAUGUAAUUACCUGAGUGUGUUACAGGACAUAGAUGCAGAAGAAAGUAGGAAUAAUGGAAAUCAAGGAUGUCAGCUUCUUGGACUCAGCAAAGUGAAAUUGGAAUCUCCUACAGGCUCAUCCUGACAGUCAGACCAGAUGGACCAUACUAGCUCCAACAAAGAGUACAAAAGAAUCAGAAAUUCUUAGUAAGCAAAAGGAAAAAAAAGUAUUGACAGACGAAAUGGCCCUAGAGAAAGCAGGAAAAAUGAGAAGAAUACUACAUAUGAAAGGACAAAAUCCAGGAGAAAAGCUUAGGAUUACAGUUUCCAUUUGUUGUUCCUUACAGAGCUGGUAACAUAUCCAGGACAAGGUAUGAACAGACUAUUACCUGAUAUGCGAGCAUGUGUUAAGAAAAAGGUGAGAACAUCACCUGCCUGACAAGCAAUCAGUUACACAACACAAUGAUGAAUUCCACUGUGUAAAACAAUACAUUGAGAAAAAAAGAUAUUGGACAAAUCCAC
RNAcentral lists this long non-coding RNA (600 nucleotides) under Cyanistes caeruleus (blue tit). Its description in RNAcentral is "lncRNA (ENSCCEG00000013794.1)". Lineage: Eukaryota; Metazoa; Chordata; Aves; Passeriformes; Paridae. The record is from RNAcentral.